Molecule: ribosomal RNA, 253 nt
Filed under: uncultured bacterium
Lineage: Bacteria
Description: partial 16S ribosomal RNA
Rfam family: Bacterial small subunit ribosomal RNA
Source: RNAcentral
UACGUAGGGGGCAAGCGUUGUCCGGAUUUAUUGGGCGUAAAGAGCGUGUAGGCGGCCUGAAAGGUCAGCUGUGAAAACUCGAGGCUCAACCUCGAGACGUCGGUUGAAACCAUCUGGCUAGAGUCCGGAAGAGGAGUGUGGAAUUCCCGGUGUAGCGGUGAAAUGCGCAGAUAUCGGGAAGAACACCCGUGGCGAGGGCGGCACUCUGGGACGGUACUGACGCUGAGACGCGAAAGCGUGGGGAGCGAACAGG